Molecule: ribosomal RNA, 208 nt
Filed under: uncultured bacterium
Lineage: Bacteria
Description: partial 16S ribosomal RNA
Rfam family: Bacterial small subunit ribosomal RNA
Source: RNAcentral
CGCGUAGGCGGCCUGCUAAGUCGAACGUGAAAUCCCCGGGCUCAACCCGGGAACUGCGUCCGAUACUGGGAGGCUUGAAUCCGGGAGAGGGAUGUGGAAUUCCAGGUGUAGCGGUGAAAUGCGUAGAUAUCUGGAGGAACACCGGUGGCGAAGGCGGCAUCCUGGACCGGAAUUGACGCUGAGGCGCGAAAGCCAGGGGAGCAAACGG